RNAcentral lists this long non-coding RNA (858 nucleotides) under Equus caballus (horse). RNAcentral describes it as "lncRNA (ENSECAG00000051546.1)". The record is from RNAcentral. Lineage: Eukaryota; Metazoa; Chordata; Mammalia; Perissodactyla; Equidae.
GGGGGGGGGGGGGGGGGGGGGGGGGGGGGGGGGGGGGGGGGGGGGGGGGGGGGGGUUCAGGUACAAGAAGCAUGGAAAUGGAGACUUUAACCCCAGGAGUGGGUAGUCACUCCCCACCUCCAUCAUGCUCCUCAGAGGCAGGAAUGGGCUGCUGGGUCAGGCUGGCAAGGCCUCAUCUCAGGAGUCCUGCUCUGAGCCAUUCCAGGCAAGGAGGAAGGCUCCACUGGGCUUCCGCCAUCUGCUAGGAACACUUAUUUUGAACCCCCAGCACUCCCUUCAUCACCAUCAGCUUCAUCACCAGCACCACUUGAAGGCUGGGCAGGGCACUUCACAGGUGGAAUCUCAUUCCAUGUACUCUGUCCACCCUGGAUCUGAACCAGAUUUUUGGGGACCAGGAGAGCUCUUAGCCCUAUGUUGAGUCUGUUGGUUGCCAUCUCAUAUCCACCCCCGCCUUCAUCCUUAUUAUACUGUUGUAUAUUAGAAGUGGCAAGGCACCCAGUUUAAAACAAACGUAUUUCCCAGACUCCCUUUAAGAGCGAGGUGGCUGAUGAUACAUUGCUGGAGGGGGCAGGGUUCAGGGGAAAUUCAUUCGAGGAUCUUGACUGAGCUGACAGAUAUGUUUUGCCCUAUCUCCUGUACUCCUUCCUUCCUCAAACUUGUGCUGGCUGGAGCUCCAGCUGCCAUCUUGGACUAUGUGGUAACCCUAAAGAUAAAAACGCACGCAAAGGAUGGAGAGAGAGAAAGCUGGAAGGAGCCUGGGACAUCAUGACAUCAUGGAGCUGUCACAGAAACUCUUUACUGGCUUAUCUAUGGACUUCUUUUAUUUGAAAGAAAAUAAAGCUCUAUCUUAUUAAAUUA